AUUUAUCUAUGGGCUUUGCAAUGAAUGGUACCACAUUCCAGUUAGGAGUUAAAUGAUUAAAGUGAUAAAAGGAUCAAGCAGUUUCAAAAAUAGUAUUUGAAUAUUGAUUUCUUCAAAAAAUUGUUUUACUGUCGUAUUACAAUGUUUGAAGCUGUGUCACCAUGCAGAAAAAUUGUGUGGAAUUUAAAUCAAAUGAUACUAAUUCGAGCUGGAUUCUCAUCUAAGAAAUAUAUUCAUUGACUACCAGUAACACAUACUUUUAAUUCAGCAGGAACUAUAGUAAUAUAUACUAAUAUAUUACUAUAAUAAUAAUUACAAGAACUAUUUUGUACAUAUAGUGAGCACAAAAUGACAUAUAAGGCAAAGACUGGCUGAGAUGCUUAUUUUUAAGAAAACAGUUUAUAAAUAAUUGUUUGGUCCUCUUCAGGACAUCAGUUCAUGACGCAUGAGCUCAAAGGGAACAAAUCAUACAUCCUCUAACCAACCUUUGCUUGGUUCAGAAUAGGA
Ctenocephalides felis (cat flea) is the source of this 507-nucleotide long non-coding RNA. RefSeq lists it as uncharacterized. The record is from RefSeq and is a predicted model, not a curated record. Lineage: Eukaryota; Metazoa; Arthropoda; Insecta; Siphonaptera; Pulicidae. The transcript is spliced from 3 exons.